RNAcentral lists this ribosomal RNA (2923 nucleotides) under Staphylococcus aureus. RNAcentral's name for it is "23S ribosomal RNA". It matches the Rfam family "Bacterial large subunit ribosomal RNA". Lineage: Bacteria; Bacillati; Bacillota; Bacilli; Caryophanales; Staphylococcaceae. The record is from RNAcentral.
GAUUAAGUUAUUAAGGGCGCACGGUGGAUGCCUUGGCACUAGAAGCCGAUGAAGGACGUUACUAACGACGAUAUGCUUUGGGGAGCUGUAAGUAAGCUUUGAUCCAGAGAUUUCCGAAUGGGGAAACCCAGCAUGAGUUAUGUCAUGUUAUCGAUAUGUGAAUACAUAGCAUAUCAGAAGGCACACCCGGAGAACUGAAACAUCUUAGUACCCGGAGGAAGAGAAAGAAAAUUCGAUUCCCUUAGUAGCGGCGAGCGAAACGGGAAGAGCCCAAACCAACAAGCUUGCUUGUUGGGGUUGUAGGACACUCUAUACGGAGUUACAAAGGACGACAUUAGACGAAUCAUCUGGAAAGAUGAAUCAAAGAAGGUAAUAAUCCUGUAGUCGAAAAUGUUGUCUCUCUUGAGUGGAUCCUGAGUACGACGGAGCACGUGAAAUUCCGUCGGAAUCUGGGAGGACCAUCUCCUAAGGCUAAAUACUCUCUAGUGACCGAUAGUGAACCAGUACCGUGAGGGAAAGGUGAAAAGCACCCCGGAAGGGGAGUGAAAUAGAACCUGAAACCGUGUGCUUACAAGUAGUCAGAGCCCGUUAAUGGGUGAUGGCGUGCCUUUUGUAGAAUGAACCGGCGAGUUACGAUUUGAUGCAAGGUUAAGCAGUAAAUGUGGAGCCGUAGCGAAAGCGAGUCUGAAUAGGGCGUUUAGUAUUUGGUCGUAGACCCGAAACCAGGUGAUCUACCCUUGGUCAGGUUGAAGUUCAGGUAACACUGAAUGGAGGACCGAACCGACUUACGUUGAAAAGUGAGCGGAUGAACUGAGGGUAGCGGAGAAAUUCCAAUCGAACCUGGAGAUAGCUGGUUCUCUCCGAAAUAGCUUUAGGGCUAGCCUCAAGUGAUGAUUAUUGGAGGUAGAGCACUGUUUGGACGAGGGGCCCCUCUCGGGUUACCGAAUUCAGACAAACUCCGAAUGCCAAUUAAUUUAACUUGGGAGUCAGAACAUGGGUGAUAAGGUCCGUGUUCGAAAGGGAAACAGCCCAGACCACCAGCUAAGGUCCCAAAAUAUAUGUUAAGUGGAAAAGGAUGUGGCGUUGCCCAGACAACUAGGAUGUUGGCUUAGAAGCAGCCAUCAUUUAAAGAGUGCGUAAUAGCUCACUAGUCGAGUGACACUGCGCCGAAAAUGUACCGGGGCUAAACAUAUUACCGAAGCUGUGGAUUGUCCUUUGGACAAUGGUAGGAGAGCGUUCUAAGGGCGUUGAAGCAUGAUCGUAAGGACAUGUGGAGCGCUUAGAAGUGAGAAUGCCGGUGUGAGUAGCGAAAGACGGGUGAGAAUCCCGUCCACCGAUUGACUAAGGUUUCCAGAGGAAGGCUCGUCCGCUCUGGGUUAGUCGGGUCCUAAGCUGAGGCCGACAGGCGUAGGCGAUGGAUAACAGGUUGAUAUUCCUGUACCACCUAUAAUCGUUUUAAUCGAUGGGGGGACGCAGUAGGAUAGGCGAAGCGUGCGAUUGGAUUGCACGUCUAAGCAGUAAGGCUGAGUAUUAGGCAAAUCCGGUACUCGUUAAGGCUGAGCUGUGAUGGGGAGAAGACAUUGUGUCUUCGAGUCGUUGAUUUCACACUGCCGAGAAAAGCCUCUAGAUAGAAAAUAGGUGCCCGUACCGCAAACCGACACAGGUAGUCAAGAUGAGAAUUCUAAGGUGAGCGAGCGAACUCUCGUUAAGGAACUCGGCAAAAUGACCCCGUAACUUCGGGAGAAGGGGUGCUCUUUAGGGUUAACGCCCAGAAGAGCCGCAGUGAAUAGGCCCAAGCGACUGUUUAUCAAAAACACAGGUCUCUGCUAAACCGUAAGGUGAUGUAUAGGGGCUGACGCCUGCCCGGUGCUGGAAGGUUAAGAGGAGUGGUUAGCUUCUGCGAAGCUACGAAUCGAAGCCCCAGUAAACGGCGGCCGUAACUAUAACGGUCCUAAGGUAGCGAAAUUCCUUGUCGGGUAAGUUCCGACCCGCACGAAAGGCGUAACGAUUUGGGCACUGUCUCAACGAGAGACUCGGUGAAAUCAUAGUACCUGUGAAGAUGCAGGUUACCCGCGACAGGACGGAAAGACCCCGUGGAGCUUUACUGUAGCCUGAUAUUGAAAUUCGGCACAGCUUGUACAGGAUAGGUAGGAGCCUUUGAAACGUGAGCGCUAGCUUACGUGGAGGCGCUGGUGGGAUACUACCCUAGCUGUGUUGGCUUUCUAACCCGCACCACUUAUCGUGGUGGGAGACAGUGUCAGGCGGGCAGUUUGACUGGGGCGGUCGCCUCCUAAAAGGUAACGGAGGCGCUCAAAGGUUCCCUCAGAAUGGUUGGAAAUCAUUCAUAGAGUGUAAAGGCAUAAGGGAGCUUGACUGCGAGACCUACAAGUCGAGCAGGGUCGAAAGACGGACUUAGUGAUCCGGUGGUUCCGCAUGGAAGGGCCAUCGCUCAACGGAUAAAAGCUACCCCGGGGAUAACAGGCUUAUCUCCCCCAAGAGUUCACAUCGACGGGGAGGUUUGGCACCUCGAUGUCGGCUCAUCGCAUCCUGGGGCUGUAGUCGGUCCCAAGGGUUGGGCUGUUCGCCCAUUAAAGCGGUACGCGAGCUGGGUUCAGAACGUCGUGAGACAGUUCGGUCCCUAUCCGUCGUGGGCGUAGGAAAUUUGAGAGGAGCUGUCCUUAGUACGAGAGGACCGGGAUGGACAUACCUCUGGUGUACCAGUUGUCGUGCCAACGGCAUAGCUGGGUAGCUAUGUGUGGACGGGAUAAGUGCUGAAAGCAUCUAAGCAUGAAACCCCCCUCAAGAUGAGAUUUCCCAACUUCGGUUAUAAGAUCCCUCAAAGAUGAUGAGGUUAAUAGGUUCGAGGUGGAAGCAUGGUGACAUGUGGAGCUGACGAAUACUAAUCGAUCGAAGACUUAAUCAA